AAAUCUAAGCCAUCCAUCUGAAUCACAACGUGACCAUGGGAUCCAGAUACCCAAUGGUCAUCUAAACUUCCAGACACGACUCACAACGUUACCAUCCGACGUGGCACGUCUCUAACGGCUCCCAAUAGUUUCCACGUCACGCGCCGACUUAACCCAAAGAUCGCGACACCCACUUUAAACUACUCCGGCGGUAUACGCUACCGCAGCCCGAGCCCUAUACGGCUAUACCUAUAGACUGCCGAGAAAUACUCCACGGGUGACGCUAGGGUUUCCAACGGAUCAAAAAGAGACAUCGGAGGGAGAUGGGAAUUCGAAUUGAUGGGGAACCUUGUUCGAAGCCGCGCGCCCGAGCUCCAAACCCUAAACCCUCGGAUGGACGGCUUCUCAAGCUUCCCUUCCCGCGUCCCCCGGCAAUUCCACCUCGACGUCGCCUCCUAUCGCGCUCUGUUUCGUGUCUUCUCCUGCCUCGACGAAACCCUCGUUCGUCCUCAUGAAUCUCGUAAAUAUCCAAACCCUGGAUCGGAUGAAGUGCCGUAGAGCUCUUGUACCGGUAAAGAUUCGAUCUUUGAUGGAAGAUGUGAUGGAAUCGUGGCGGAGGAACUCGGGCAUGGUUGGAAAGGGGGAAGGCACGGUGGAUUUGGAGGCAGUGAGAGGAGUAGAGAUUCGGCAUGUGGAAACCGUCGGUUUGAUGAUUCUUCUUUUAAUGGAAAUAUUGGUUUAAGGGAGGAAUUAGGCGACGGCAGAGACUUUCCAAAAGAUGUACCUCUUCAAAACGCUAAAGUAGCGGAUGGCAAGGAUCGGAAUUCCUGUUCAGAACAAGGAAGGAAUCAUGAAACUCUAGAUGCAAACGGUAAAAAGAUUGUCUCUGGGGAAGGAAUGAUCUAUUCUUCUGAGGAAUUACUUCAUGUCUUCAUGGUAAAAUGAGAGCACAGGGCACGGUCAAUGCAUAAAAAUGAUGUAUUAACUGAAUAUACGUUUCCUGAAAAGCAUGUGAUGGAUAAAGUUCGGGAUAAAGAAAUUAAGUUAAUGAAAGAAUGAGGAGAAAGGUUGCAACAAGUAACACACUGUUGUCCCGAUUCUUUGAUGGAAGUUUUGGGUCAAGAAAGAUGAAUUCCAGUAGUGUCCAAUGUUAGGUUCAGAGGAUGAUGGAGACAUCAAGAACGAUGAAAUUUAGUGGAAAGGACGACAUCUUGUGGCUCUCCUAAGAAAGAGCAUACAAACAUGUUUUGUACUGAAGCAGACAUGCAUGCAAGUGAAGGUAACUGCAAGGGUGAUGAGUCAGCUACGCCCAUACAUAUUACCAAGGAUGAAAUAAUGCAUGUUUAAAAAACUCACGCUCUAGAAUUGGCUGGAUGUGGGAACUCACGCUCUAGAAUUGGCUGGAGAGAACUCAGAAAAAACAACGAGUACCAACAAAGAAAAACAUCCAACGAUGAGCCCGACCAAGGCACUGAGCUAGUUGGGCUGCUGGAGUGCUCCAAUCGUCAGUUGUUUAGGUCGGAAGAUCGACUAAGGGUCACUGCUUGUCCCUGCAAUGACGGUUCGAUGGCUGCUGAGCUUGGGUGGUGAUGACUCCUACACUAGUCACCCUUGAAGGUGAUGGAGAUCUAGCUCAGACCUUCGCUCCGACGUAGGGAUCUGACAUGAAACAACAAAGACAGGGGAGUUCUCUUGCCGGAGAGCCGACGGGGAUCUUUUGAUGCCUAAAUCAGUCUAACUUUUAAGAAACAACGAAGGUGUUGUGAGAGCGGCAGAAUGACAAUGCAAAAGAAAUAAAGGAGCGCUUCUAGGGCUCAAGAAUGUUUGUUUGGAGGGUCCUCUGGGAGUUGUUUAUAUAGGCAAUGAUCGGCACCUGUCGUCAAGGAAAUCGAGUAUGCGGAUUGGCUAUUUUUGAUAACAGAUUGCGCAUGUCAAAGAUCAUGCCUGGAUGUUUCGUCCAUGCAUCUCGCAUGCAGUUAUGGAAAUUGUUCACAAUCGUGGCUAAGCUAUUGCCAGUUGGGGGGUAAGAGUUUGAAAUUCGAAGGACUCUGCGCACACCUUUAGGGUCUGCCAUGUGGCAAACUUUGUUUGGUUGGUCAGAAGUUUCGUGGUGAGCUCUCACUGGUUGGUAUGCCAUGUCGGCUGUGGUUGGCUCUGAGGUGUAUCGUCUUCCAUUAGAGACAUUUUCAAAAAUAACUUUAAUACAUUGUUUGUUUAAAAUUGGGAUUUCAUUUUUCAUGGACAAUUCUUUUUCUAAUGAUUGUUUAAUAUUCAGUAAUUCAUUGAAAUGGUGUUUUUGUUUUUAUAUUUUUCUUGCUAUUUGCAGCACGGGCAAAAGUUUUUGUAUUAAAUAGAAUAGUUAAUCUUGUAAUCAUCACUUUUAUCUUUGCUUUAAAAAUAUAUUAUUGCUUUUACAUGUUCUUGGUAUCAUAAAAUUAGAUUUCUAACUUAUCUAAGUGAUCUGUCAGACAUGUGCUGCUAUACUGUUUUUACAAGUUGGUUCUUUUAAUUUGACAAUAUGUUGUUUUUGCUACUACAGAAAAAUGGUCUUGUAGAGCAGAUGUUCUAACUCAUCCAAGUGAUCUAUCCGAAAUUUACUACUCCAGUGCUUUUUACAAAUAAGUUCUCUUAAUCAGACACAGAUAUGCUGGGUCACUUUCACAUGUUGUAGGAUAAGGAAUGGCUUAUACCAUUUUGGCUCCUAUAGGAAACAGGCUCUUGAAGCGAGGGUGAUGAGAAGGCGAGGAGCUUUAACUGAGGAAAGAAAAGCUAAACAAAAGGUUGUGUACUGGUUCCUGUAUUACUUCCUUGCUACCUAGAUGUCAAUAUCAUAGUGAAAACUACUUCAUUGUGUGAAGUUUUCCCUCCUGUGGGGUUGCAAGUCCAACAUGGUGUCAGAAGAGCACUGAAAGGAUUCACAUGGUCAAAGCACUUGCCAUCAUAAUUUCAUUUUAGGAUAAAACGAAUAUAGGUGCGAAAGAGAGCCCAAUUGCAGUGUCUUCUUCUGAAAUCAUCUUAAGCUAGAGGAAUGGUAGUCAUACUUGUUUGGUGGGUAAAGUGACAGUACUCAAUCUAGAAAGGGUCAGCUUUGCCAUUACUGUGGAAAAUAAUUCCAGCCCUAAAGGAGGUCCUAAGGACCACAUUGUAAUGUAUAGUCAUCUAUGUACAAAGCUGGUGCAUUUGAUUUUAAAAAUUUA
Long non-coding RNA from Phoenix dactylifera (date palm), 3176 nucleotides. RefSeq lists it as uncharacterized. Lineage: Eukaryota; Viridiplantae; Streptophyta; Magnoliopsida; Arecales; Arecaceae. The record is from RefSeq and is a predicted model, not a curated record.